RNAcentral lists this ribosomal RNA (377 nucleotides) under uncultured organism. RNAcentral's name for it is "partial 16S ribosomal RNA". It matches the Rfam family "Bacterial small subunit ribosomal RNA", at positions 527 to 897 of the family's 1533-position model. The record is from RNAcentral.
GUAGGUGGCAAGCGUUGUCCGGGAAUUAUUCGGGGCGUAAAGCGCGCGCAGGCGGUUCUUUAAGUCUGAUGUGAAAGCCCACGGGCUCAACCGUGGAGGGUCAUUGGAAACUGGAGAACUUGAGUACAGAAGAGGAAAGCGGGAUUCCACGUGUAGCGGUGAAAUGCGUAGAGAUGUGGAGGAACACCAGUGGCGAAGGCGGCUUUCUGGUCUGUAACUGACGCUGAGGCGCGAAAGCGUGGGGAGCAAACAGGAUUAGAUACCCUGGUAGUCCACGCCGUAAACGAUGAGUGCUAAGUGUUAGGGGGUUUCCGCCCCUUAGUGCUGCAGCUAACGCAUUAAGCACUCCGCCUGGGGAGUACGGCCGCAAAGGCUGA